UACGUAGGGGCCAAGCGUUGUCCGGAUUUAUUGGGCGUAAAGAGCUCGUAGGCGGUUGGGUAAGUCGGGUGUGAAAACUCCAGGCUCAACUUGGAGAUGCCACCCGAUACUGCUCUGACUUGAGUUCGGUAGGGGAGUGGGGAAUUCCUGGUGUAGCGGUGAAAUGCGCAGAUAUCAGGAGGAACACCGGUGGCGAAGGCGCCACUCUGGGCCGAAACUGACGCUGAGGAGCGAAAGCCAGGGGAGCAAACGGG
RNAcentral lists this ribosomal RNA (254 nucleotides) under uncultured bacterium. RNAcentral's name for it is "partial 16S ribosomal RNA". It matches the Rfam family "Bacterial small subunit ribosomal RNA", at positions 524 to 776 of the family's 1533-position model. The record is from RNAcentral.